UGCGUAGGUGGCGCCGUAAGUGGGGUGUGAAAUCCCGGGGCUUAACCCCGGGACUGCAUUCCAUACUGCGGUGCUUGAGGACUGGAGAGGAGACUGGAAUUUACGGUGUAGCAGUGAAAUGCGUAGAGAUCGUAAGGAAGACCAGUGGCGAAGGCGGGUCUCUGGACAGUUCCUGACACUGAGGCACGAAGGCCAGGGGGAGCAAACGG
This 209-nucleotide ribosomal RNA is filed under the name uncultured bacterium. Its description in RNAcentral is "partial 16S ribosomal RNA". It matches the Rfam family "Bacterial small subunit ribosomal RNA", at positions 568 to 775 of the family's 1533-position model. The record is from RNAcentral.